RNAcentral lists this long non-coding RNA (1009 nucleotides) under Salvia miltiorrhiza (redroot sage). RNAcentral describes it as "long non-coding RNA (SMIL_LNC000424)". Lineage: Eukaryota; Viridiplantae; Streptophyta; Magnoliopsida; Lamiales; Lamiaceae. The record is from RNAcentral.
AAAAUAGUGAAAACAGUAGUAAUAGUAAUAAGCUACAGACAUCCCUAUUCAGAUUCAGCAACACAAUCCCAGUUUCUCGAUAAUCAAUAAAUAAACAGAUUUACAUCAUAUAAAAAUUGAAUCUUGAGCAGUAGACGACGUCACUCUAGUAAUCCCUUGAAACCUCGGUUCCUGAAAUAGAACAAGUAGAGAUUCAUUAGUUUGUGAUGUUAAAGCUGAAAUAGAAAUUAGAUUGGAAGUUGCUGGAUAAGAUUUUGAAUUGGGAAAUAGAGAAGAGGGAAGGAAGAAGAAGAAGGCGGGAUUAGCAGUAGCAGCAGCAGCCGUGAGCCAACCACAGCAGAGGCACGCUGCGGUGGUGACCGCGGCGUUGCCCGCGCUAUGGCGGCCCGGUGGCUCUACAUAGAGAAGAGGGAGGUUGAGCGAGAGGUAGGGAUGGAGAUUGAGUGAGAGAUAGUGAGAUAGAGACAGAUAGCAGGAAGAAGGGAGAAAGGCAGAACGAGCUAGAGGGAGAGAGGAGCGGGGCAGGCGGCGGCGAGCACCGGCGCUGCAAGCGCCGUCGUGGCUUGCGGCGGCCGCCGCGUCCUGGACAGAGAAAGAGAGUGAGAGAUCGAGAGAGGGCAGAGAGAGAGGGAGUUCGAGGGAGAGAGCAGAGACAGAAGUAGAGAGAGAACAGGGACUUACCUGAGUCAGAAGAGGCGGCGGCGUGACAGAGAUGACGGCGGGGCGGCAGGCUUCGCCGGAGAGACGAAUUCCAGAGGGGAUGAAGAGAGGUAGAAACCCUAGGUAUUUUGAUUUUAUAAUUUGGGGAUUGAGUACUUAAGGGAAAAGAGAAAUGGAAAGAAAGGAAAGGGGGAGAGGAGAGAUCGACCUCGCCGCGCCGGAGGCGACGAAGGCCGGCGACGGUCGCCGGAGACAGGGAGAGAGAAAGAGAGACGACAGAGCUGUGAGAGAGAGGGAGAAGUAACGCAGAGAGAGAGAAUGUAUAUGUAUGUGUGCGUGAGGAAAUAAG